AGCGAACGCUGGCGGCAGGCUUAACACAUGCCAGUCGAGCGGGCACUUUCGGGUGUCAGCGGCGGACGGGUGAGUAACGCGUGGGAACGUGCCCUCUGGUUCGGAAUAACUCAGGGAAACUUGAGCUAAUACCGGAUACGCCCUUUUGGGGAAAGGCUUGCUGCCGGAGGAUCGGCCCGCGUCUGAUUAGCUAGUUGGUGAGGUAACGGCUCACCAAGGCGACGAUCAGUAGCUGGUCUGAGAGGAUGAUCAGCCACACUGGGACUGAGACACGGCCCAGACUCCUACGGGAGGCAGCAGUGGGGAAUAUUGGACGAUGGGCGCAAGCCUGAUCCAGCCAUGCCGCGUGAGUGAUGAAGGCCUUAGGGUUGUAAAGCUCUUUUAUCCGGGACGAUAAUGACGGUACCGGAGGAAUAAGCCCCGGCUAACUUCGUG
This 435-nucleotide ribosomal RNA is filed under the name uncultured bacterium. RNAcentral describes it as "partial 16S ribosomal RNA". It matches the Rfam family "Bacterial small subunit ribosomal RNA", at positions 29 to 507 of the family's 1533-position model. The record is from RNAcentral.